GCGGAGGAAAAGAAACCAACAGGGAUUGCCUCAGUAACGGCGAGUGAAGCGGCAACAGCUCAAAUUUGAAAUCUGGCCCGUUUCGGGUCCGAGUUGUAAUUUGUAGAGGAUGUUUUGGGUACCGCCGCGGGUUAAUUUUCUUGGAACAGAGAGCCAAAGAGGGUGAGAGUCCCGUCUUGGCCCGCGGUAGGGCUCGUGUAAAACUCCUUCGACGAGUCGACUAGUUUGGGAAUGCUGGUCAAAAUGGGUGGUAAAUUUCAUCUAAAGCUAAAUAUUGGCCAGAGACCGAUAGCGCACAAGUAGAGUGAUCGAAAGAUGAAAAGCACUUUGAAAAGAGAGUUAAACAGUAUGUGAAAUUGUUGAAAGGGAAGCGCAGGCAACCAGACUCGUGCGCGGGGUUCCCCCUUGCUUCUGCUUGGGUUACUUCCCCGUGUCCGGGCCAUCAUCAGUUUUGGGGACCGGUCAAAGACCCCGGGAAUGUAUCCUCCCCUUCGGGAGAGGACUUAUAGCCCGGGGUGUCAUGCGGCCACCUGGGACCGAGGAACGCGCUUCGGCGAGGAUGAUGGCGUAAUGGUUGUCUGCGACCCGUCUUGAAACACGGACCAAGGAGUCUAACAUCUAUGCGAGUGUUCGGGUGUCAAACCCUGGCGCGGAAUGAAAGUGAACGGAGGUAGGAAGGCGUACGCCUGCACUAUCGACCGAUCCUGAUGUCUUCGGAUGGAUUUGAGUAAGAGCAUAGCUGUUGGGACCCGAAAGAUGGUGAACUAUGCGUGAAUAGGGUGAAGCCAGAGGAAACUCUGGUGGAGGCUCGCAGCGGUUCUGACGUGCAAAUCGAUCGUCAAAUUUGCGUAUAGGG
RNAcentral lists this ribosomal RNA (856 nucleotides) under Cladosporium adianticola. Its description in RNAcentral is "eukaryotic LSU rRNA". It matches the Rfam family "Eukaryotic large subunit ribosomal RNA", at positions 50 to 922 of the family's 3401-position model. Lineage: Eukaryota; Fungi; Ascomycota; Dothideomycetes; Cladosporiales; Cladosporiaceae. The record is from RNAcentral.